Molecule: ribosomal RNA, 483 nt
Filed under: uncultured bacterium
Lineage: Bacteria
Description: partial 16S ribosomal RNA
Rfam family: Bacterial small subunit ribosomal RNA
Source: RNAcentral
GACGAACGCUGGCGGCGUGCUUAACACAUGCAAGUCGAACGCUGAAGCUCAGCUUUUGUUGGGUGGAUGAGUGGCGAACGGGUGAGUAACACGUGAGUAACCUGCCCCCUUCUUUGGGAUAACGCCCGGAAACGGGUGCUAAUACUGGAUAUUCACUGGUCUUCGCAUGGGGGUUGGUGGAAGGGGUUUUUCUGGUGGGGGAUGGGCUCGCGGCCUAUCAGCUUGUUGGUGGGGUGAUGGCCUACCAAGGCUUUGACGGGUAGCCGGCCUGAGAGGGUGACCGGUCACAUUGGGACUGAGAUACGGCCCAGACUCCUACGGGAGGCGGCAGUGGGGAAGAUUGCACAAUGGGCGCAAGCCUGAUGCAGCGACGCCGCGUGAGGGAUGGAGGCCUUCGGGUUGUGAACCUCUUUCGCUCAUGGUCAAGCCGCAACAAUGGUUGUGGUGAGGGUAGUGGGUAAAGAAGCGCCGGCUAACUACGUG